AAGACAUGUUUUGGCCCCUGAACUUGACAGCAAAACUCACUUUAGCAACUAAACUUAAGUUGUAUUUAUUUACCCCCUUAACAACUUUCAAGUUAAUUAAAUACCCCCUUAACGGGUGACGUGGCAAAAAAGUGUACUCAAUUUCUUAAAAGCGCGUGGGAUGAAAAAAAAACACUAAAACUGAUCCCAACUGUACAGAUGUCAUCUUCUAAUUGGAUGAUAUAUUAAGAUUUUCUUAAUAUUUUAUUUUCCAUUUUAAAUUAACUUUUUUCUUUUCUUUCUUUUUCUUUUCCUUUUUCUUUUCUUUCUUAUUUUUUUCCCUUUCCCUUUCUUUUCUAUCCUCUCGCUUCUGCUCUCAAUCCGCAUCUUCUUUCUUCUUCUUUUAAUUUUUUUUCCUUUCUUUUUCUAGAUAAAUUGAAGAGAGCAGAUAUGCUUGAAAUGAUAAAUUGAAGAGAGUAGAUAUUCUUUUUCUAGAUAUGCUUGUUGUUCAAACCCAAUUUAAACAAUACCCACUUAUCUAAAUCACUUAUUUCUCCACUUUUUGUUACAAUUUCGUCCUUUGAAGCUUCAUAUCUUCAGUUACAAAGCACACAAAGCAAAAAACUCACUUGAAUUGCUGUGGGGAAUAAGGAGAUGGGGGCAGCAACAACAGCUGAAACGAUGGGGAAUAAGGAGAGGGAGAGGAGAGGUGAGUGGGGGCGGAGGGAUGGGGGCAGCAGCAACAGCACAAAAAUGAAGAAUUCUUGGUAUACUUUAUUUCGUGGUAUUCUUUGACAGUGUCAAUUUAUUUUAUACAAAAUUAUUAUAUUUAUAGUCGUUAAUUUAUUAAUUUAUUUCUCUCCAACAUUUAAUCCAUGGAAGAAGAAUAGGGUGGGUUAGUGAUGAAUUGUGCUAUGAAUUAGGGAACGGGUGGAGUUUUGUUAAUUUUAUACAAUUAUUUUUUUUUUUUUUUUUUUUUGGUUUGGGAUGGUGUUGAAGAAAUGAAUGUAUUUCAAUUUGGUGUUGAUUCUGGGUGUUGCUCAUACGUGAAUGUUGUUGAAGAAAGAAGAAGAUAGCAGCAACGAGUUGGGGGAAAGGGGAGAGGGAGCGGGGGUUGGGGGUUAGAAGGAGAAGGGAUGAAGAAGAAAGAGAAAAAUUAAAUAAAUAAAAAUAAUUUAAAAAAUAUUUAAUGACGUGGACCAAUCACCAGGCGAGUGGUGAACAACACCAAGAUCUCAUCUGGUCCAGGCCGUUAAGGGGGCUAUUUAAUUAACUUGAAAGUUGUUAAGGAGGUAAAUAAAUACAACUUAAGUUUAGUUGCUAAAGUGAGUUUUGCUACCAAGUUCAGGGGCCAAAACAUGUCUUUCUGUAUGUAUAUAACACCUAGUGAUCCUAUAUUAUGGUUAUGAUUUUCUGUUA
Molecule: long non-coding RNA, 1398 nt
Organism: Lycium barbarum (goji berry)
Lineage: Eukaryota; Viridiplantae; Streptophyta; Magnoliopsida; Solanales; Solanaceae
Exons: 2
Source: RefSeq, a predicted model, not a curated record